Non-coding RNA from Triticum aestivum (bread wheat), 115 nucleotides. The record is from Rfam. Lineage: Eukaryota; Viridiplantae; Streptophyta; Magnoliopsida; Poales; Poaceae.
UUACUACUCCCUCCGUUCGGAAUUACUUGUCGCAGAAAUGGAUGUAUCUAGAUGUAUUUUAGUUUUAGAUAUAUCCAUUUUCGUGACAAGUAAUUCCGAACAGAGGGAGUAUAUC